This 392-nucleotide long non-coding RNA is filed under the name Mytilus galloprovincialis (Mediterranean mussel). Lineage: Eukaryota; Metazoa; Mollusca; Bivalvia; Mytilida; Mytilidae. The record is from RNAcentral.
AAAUAGAGAAAAAUAUGCAAACAUUGAUAGAAUAGAAAACAAUUGCAAACAAAACAACAAAUAGAGAAAAAUAUGCAAACAGUGAUAGAAUAGAAAACAAUUGCAAACAAUACAACAAAUAGAGAAAAAUAUGCAAAAAAAUGAUCGAUUAGAAAACAAUGGCAAACGAUAUACAACAAAAAGAGAAAAAUAUGCAAACAUUGAUAGAAUAGAAAACAAUUGCAAACAAUAAAACAAAUAGAGAAAAAUAUGCAAACAUUGAUAGAAUAGAAAACAAUUGCAAACAAAACAACAGAUAGAGAAAAAUAUGCAAAAAAAUGAUAGAAUAGAAAAAAAUUGCAAACAAUACAACAGAUAGAGAAAAAUAUGCAAAAAAAAUGAUAGAAUAGAAA